CUUUCUCCGACUCAGACUAAUCACGAGAAAGACGCGCUUACGGACCGCCCUUAGGUCCCAGAAGAACCAAUACGGGCUUCUGUGUUCUUAGUCCCGCCCCCAGCCAGGCUGGGUUUUUCCGCCCUUUUCCUUCAUUUCCUGGAACCCGGUUCUGUUUAAAAAAUCCGCGAGCCACACCCGACGGCGGCUGCACCAAUCACUUCAGCAACAGCUCCGGAUCGACCAAUGAACGAUCUCACUUUGUAGAUCAGGCUGGCCUUGGACGGACAGAGAUCAAGAGCUGGGAUUAAAGGCAUGGGCUGCCACAUCUGGCGUGAGCCCCUGGUUUUAACCAUGGGUUUGGAUCUGUGCACUGAAGCUCAUCUUUGAGUGAAGACUAUGGCUGCCCCACCAUGAGAAAUCAGCAGUAGCCAGCAGUUCAACAAGAAGGGACAGGGUCCCAUGAAUCCUUCCCUUCCUUAACCCCAAUUGCCUGGUCACUGGUCCAGGCUCUACAGGCAACCACAGCUACUGAGACCUGCCAUGGCUCUGUCAUGCUCUUGAGAUUACUGACAAUGUUUUCUUUACUUUU
Molecule: long non-coding RNA, 571 nt
Organism: Apodemus sylvaticus (European woodmouse)
Lineage: Eukaryota; Metazoa; Chordata; Mammalia; Rodentia; Muridae
Exons: 2
Source: RefSeq, a predicted model, not a curated record